GGACGGUACAAAGAGCUGCAAGACCGCGAGGUGGAGCUAAUCUCAUAAAACCGUUCUCAGUUCGGAUUGUAGGCUGCAACUCGCCUACAUGAAGCUGGAAUCGCUAGUAAUCGCGGAUCAGCAUGCCGCGGUGAAUACGUUCCCGGGCCUUGUACACACCGCCCGUCACACCACGAGAGUUUGUAACACCCGAAGUCGGUGGGGUAACCUUUUUGGAGCCACCCGCCUAAGGUGGGACAGAUGAUUGGGGUGAAGUCGUAACAAGGUACCCGUAUCGAAAGGUGCGUU
Molecule: ribosomal RNA, 288 nt
Filed under: Bacillus cereus
Lineage: Bacteria; Bacillati; Bacillota; Bacilli; Caryophanales; Bacillaceae
Description: partial 16S ribosomal RNA
Rfam family: Bacterial small subunit ribosomal RNA
Source: RNAcentral